UAAUACGGGGGGUGCAAGCGUUAAUCGGAGUUAUUGGGCGUAAAGGGUUCGUAGGUUGUUUGUUAAGUUAUGUGGGAAAUACCUGGGCUUAACCUAGGAAUGUCGGAUAAUACUGAUGAACUUGAGUAUAGUAGAGGGUAGUGGAAUUUCCGGUGUAGCGGUGAAAUGCGUAGAGAUCGGAAGGAACACCAGUGGCGAAGGCGGCUACCUGGACUAAUACUGACACUGAGGAACGAAAGCGUGGGUAGCAAACAGGAUUAGAUACCCUGGUAGUCCACGCCGUAAACGAUGUCAACUAGCUGUUGGGUAAAUGAAUUUACUUAGUGGCGCAGCUAACGCGAUAAGUUGACCGCCUGGGGAGUACGGUCGCAAGAUUA
RNAcentral lists this ribosomal RNA (377 nucleotides) under uncultured Legionellaceae bacterium. Its description in RNAcentral is "bacterial SSU rRNA". It matches the Rfam family "Bacterial small subunit ribosomal RNA", at positions 521 to 896 of the family's 1533-position model. Lineage: Bacteria; Pseudomonadati; Pseudomonadota; Gammaproteobacteria; Legionellales; Legionellaceae. The record is from RNAcentral.